This 1413-nucleotide ribosomal RNA is filed under the name Notonagemia analis scribae. Its description in RNAcentral is "16S ribosomal RNA". The record is from RNAcentral. Lineage: Eukaryota; Metazoa; Arthropoda; Insecta; Lepidoptera; Sphingidae.
GGGGUAAAAUUAAUAAAUAAAAUUAUAAUAAAAGAAAUUUUAAUAUUAAAAAUAUAUAAUGGGGGUUAAAGUAUUUUUAAUAGAAAAAAUUUUAUAUUUUAUAGUUUAAUAGUAUUGUGAAAGAAAUUUGAAAUAUUAAUGAAAAUAAAAUUAAUAGAAAGUAAAUUUUAUCUAUUGUAUCUUGUGUAUCAGAGUUUAUUAAUAAUUAUUUAUAUUAUAAAAUUCUCGAAUUUAAAAGAGUUAAUUAAUUAAAAAAUUUAUUGUUUUAUAAAUAUUUUAAAUAAUUAAUUAGAAAUGAAAUGUUAAUCGUUUUUAAAUAUAUCUAGUUUUUUUAGAAAAAAAUUUAAUUUUUAAUUAUUUUAAAAAUUUAUUUAAUAAUAAAAUAGAUUUUUGAAUUAAUUUAAUAUUUUAAGGGAUAAGCUUUAAAUUAAAUUUUUAUAAUUUUUAAAUAAAAAUUAAGAAUUUUAUGAUUUAUAUUGUUAAUAAAUUUUAUUUUAUUAUAAAUAAUUUUAAUGAAUUUAAGAUUUAAUUUAAAAUUUAAUUUUUUAUAGAAAAAUAAUUUUUAAUUAUAAAAAAUUAAUUAUAAUGAUAAAAUUAGUAUGUAAAUAAUUAAAAUAAUUAAAAUUAAUAUUUAUGAUAGUUAUUUUAAAGGAACUCGACAAAUAAAAAAAUAUAUAAUAUAUUUAUUUAUGUAAUUUUAUGUUAUGUAAUAGUUAUUUAUAUUAAUUUGUUUAACUAUAUUCACCUGUUUAUCAAAAACAUGUCUUUUUGAAUAUAAUUUAAAGUCUAAUCUGCCCACUGAUUUUAAAAAAUUGAAGGGCUGCAGUAUAUUGACUGUACAAAGGUAGCAUAAUCAUUAGUCUCUUAAUUGGUGACUUGUAUGAAGGAUUGGAUGAAAUAUAAAUUGUCUCUAAAUUAUAUAAUUGAAUUUAAUUUUUUAAUUAAAAAGUUAAAAUAAAUUAAAAAGACGAGAAGACCCUAUAGAGUUUUAUAAUUUAUUUAUUAUAAAUUAUGAAUUUAUUUAAUAUAUUUAAGAUAAAUUAAUUAUUUUAUUGGGGUGAUAAAAAAAUUUAUUUAACUUUUUUUAAAAAGAAACAUAAAUAAGUGGUUUAUUGAUCCAUUAUUAAUGAUUAUAAGAAAAAAUUACCUUAGGGAUAACAGCGUAAUUUUUUUUUUUAGUACAAAUAAAAAAAAGAGUUUGCGACCUCGAUGUUGGAUUAAGAUAAAAUUUAAAUGCAAAAGUUUAAAAUUUUGAUCUGUUCGAUCAUUAAAAUCUUACAUGAUCUGAGUUCAAACCGGUGUAAGCCAGGUUGGUUUCUAUCUUUUAGCAUAUUUAAUAUUUUAGUACGAAAGGAUCAAAUAUUAUAAUUAAAUUAAAAGUUUUGAAUAUUAUUAAUUUUUAAUAAAUUUUAU